UACGUAGGGACCAAGCGUUGUUCGGAUUUACUGGGCGUAAAGGGCGCGUAGGCGGCAAUUCAAGUCAGCUGUGAAAUCUCCGGGCUUAACUCGGAACGGUCAGCUGAUACUGCUUUGCUAGAGUGCAGAAGGGGCAAUCGGAAUUCUUGGUGUAGCGGUGAAAUGCGUAGAUAUCAGGAGGAACACCUGUGGUGUAGACAGCUUACUGGACCACGACUGACGCUGAGACACGAAAGCGUGGGUAGCAAACAGG
This 253-nucleotide ribosomal RNA is filed under the name uncultured bacterium. RNAcentral describes it as "partial 16S ribosomal RNA". It matches the Rfam family "Bacterial small subunit ribosomal RNA", at positions 524 to 776 of the family's 1533-position model. The record is from RNAcentral.